Molecule: long non-coding RNA, 2105 nt
Filed under: Prunus dulcis (almond)
Lineage: Eukaryota; Viridiplantae; Streptophyta; Magnoliopsida; Rosales; Rosaceae
Source: RNAcentral
UUUACUUAUUUUAUUAGUUGGUUAAAGUAUUUAUGUGUCUUUAGUUUUUCUUAAUAUAAUUGUUGUUAUAUAUAUUAAUAUAUUUUUGCUUAAUUAAAAUAAUGGGUUAAAAACAGGAGGGUAUGGGGAGGGAGCACUUGGCUAACAAGGCAACUUCCCAAGCACGUUGCAAACGCAAGGGUAAGACGACUACUGGGGUGCCCCCUCAGAAAAAAGCAAAGGGAAACAACAUCAGUUCUAUUGUAACCACUAAGCAAGGGCACGGUUCCCGACCAAAACACAAAAGCCAUGCAUAUCACCCAUUGUUCUGUGUGAGAAGAUACAUACACAAGAACCACAGCGAAUUCGAUCCGGUGGUACAUGUCAAAAUUACUGACCAUUUAUCUUACAGGGUAGAUAUUGGUAAUAAUUGUCAGCUCAUUUAAUUAAUUUUUUGUUUUUAUGUUUUGUUUUGUAAGCAUCAUUUUGUUUUUAAAGUUCAAUUAGUCCAACUGUGUGCUAAGUAAAUCCUUGGCAAUUUGAUUGAUUGUUGGUAUUAUGUUUAGUUUUUCUCAACUUGUUUUGUGCAUUCCACUUAAGCAAUUAGAUUUCACAUAUUCAAUUACCCGCUUUCUGUCUGCCAAUUGGAUAUUUGUAAAUCCAAUUGCAUUUCAAGUUUGUUGAGUAUGCAUAAUUUUGUUUUUAUAUUCCAUUAAUUCAAGUGCAUGCUACGUAAGUAAAUCCUUGACAAUUUAAUUGAGUGUUGGGAGUAUGUUUAAUUUUUCUCAACUUGUUUUUGUGCAUUCCACUUAUGCAAUUAGAUGUGACAUAUUUAAUUACCGCCUUUCUGUUUGCCAAUUAGAUUUUUUGUAAAUCCAAUUGUGUUUCAAGUUUUCAGAAUAUGUUGCAUGGAAAGUGUUCUUAUGACUAAUUCAAUUUUUGACACUUGCAGAAUUCGGGUAACCACUUUAAGGGAUGCGGAAAUGACAAAUUCUGUGGUUUAUGGUUUCAAAGCCAUUUGCCUGGUCCAGUAAAGGAUAAAGUCAAAGCAACAAAGUUUUCAUUAGUUUGCAAAAUUACUUGCAAGAAAGGGAUGGAGAGAUAGACACCUCAUUACGGCAUUGGCGGGGCGUUGGUGGGACAGUACCUGUACAUUCUAUUUGGAUGAGGUCGGGGAGCUUAUAAUGACCCCAAAGGACUUUAGUGCAAUCUCGAGUUUACCUGUUUGUGGGAAACCUUUAAAUUAUGACAUGGAGGCCUACAAAAACACUAUAGAGAUAGUGAGGCUAUUCGGGAACCCCAUUGCAAGCAUAAUUAAGGACAAAAACAUUGUGGAUAAGUACAAGGAAUGGAAGCUGCAAACCACUAUACAAGAAAACCUGUUAACUCGUGUCUUCAUUCUCACAUUGGUCGACAACACUAUAUGCAAUGAUAAGAGCAACUCUGUUUAUCUAUACUAAAUGCCCAGCAUGGCUAAAGUGGAUGAGAUUAAAGAGUACAAUUGGGGUGGGGCUGGGUUGUCAUGCUUGUAUCUGUCGAUGGAUGCUAUUUCUAGAAGGAUAGUGUCAAGCUCACGAGGGUAUUUUCAGGCUUGGGAGGUGAAUAAUUUUAUGUUGACAAACUAAAAGAUUCUUAUAAUUCCUUGCGUUUGGGUAUUUUGGUCUUCAUAACUAAUAGUGGUUUGUUUUUUGUUUAUAGGUAUGGGCGUGAAGUACUCGAAGCCACUUGCUUUAAGUCAACCAUUUACCGAUGAAAGUAGUUAAUGGUUUCGCGCGUUAUGGUGGUUGGGUGGCUUGGAUGUGCGGGAAACACCCCACAACUUGGAGCAGUUUAGAAUAACUAUGAGAUAUAUCACUACUGAUCAAGUCAAUUGGCAUCCAUGGGGAACUGAUGAUACAACCCUACAACAUUAUGUGCAAAGCAGCAUUCUAGCUACAAAACAAAGAAUUCUACUCGAAGGACUUGUCGGGUAUGCCUGGUAUUAAGGGGAAAGAGUAUCCGUGCAAAGCCUAGCUACACCAGAUCAGAGGAUCCUAAAAAUACCCCGUUGAACUAUACUCUAAGAUGUGAAAGUAUAUGCCGUGGACAAUGAAACCAAAGCAUCACUUAAGGGAUUUAAAGCAGAG